CCAUUACAUUAGUUAAAUUAACGACAUAUUUAGUAGGAGCAUUGGCGACUUAUAGGAAUGGUUAAAAAUAACUCAAAUUGAGUAUAAUUUGACACUACGGAUUUAACAGUGUGCGUUUGCGAUAGUAAACUUCGCAAUUGACGACGACGACAACGAAUGAACGGACGAACAGUUAUAUAGAAAAUAAUUCGACCCAACUGGUUGUGGCAUUUAACGGCGAAAUACCAGUAGAUUAGCCGCAGGGGAUAAGAAGCGACGACAGGCAUCUCAGGAGAGUUGUCUGCAAAAUACGGCAGAUGUUCGUGGAAUGACAGGUAAGUACAACAAGUAAGCUAAAAGAACAAAUUCCCGGACAACUACCUAAACUUGGGCAUUUUUAUAUUGUCUUGAUCUUCAAAUUAUGAAUAUUUAAAUUCUCAAAAUUCUCAAGAAUAUAUUUUUCAUGUUGAACGUUUAAAUAUUCGUAUUUAAUAGCGUGUCCGGACAUUGGUGCUUUUACUUUAAAAUUACGAGAAAAUUUGGUCCAGUCUCUCGCGUUGCUGACGAACAUUUCCAUUCUCACGUUCGACGAGAGAUCGAGGCCUUGCAAUAGCGAUUUUCAAUUUCAAUAAACGCGACCAAUCCUUGCAAUUAAGACGUUGCAACUUACGCUUGAUCAUUAAGUUGUCUCGUUGCAGUCGACAGAUAGACGUUAAGCUUCUGGGAAGGACAACCGCCUGUUACGAAUAUAGACUGAUUGUAUAACAGCUGAUCUCGUGUGACCUCAGAAUUGAAUGGCCCGCGGUGAUUUAAUCGGAAUCGCGGUGCUCCGAGAAGCGGCUUGUGUCAUCGGGAAACGCUGAGCAUCGCGGCCAGGUAACCGGCAAACCGAGGAAGCCAUAUCGCGCCGGGAUUCCCUUCUGUCGAAGGCGCGACUACCGUUACGGCUUCACUCCGACACAUGUAUCAUGAGGAAAAGAUCGUUCUCUAAUCACUGAGAGAAUUCAUCCUAUACAAAAUUAACAAACGGAUAUUUCUGAUCAAAGUAUCGAUCAAUUUUUAUAUCCGACCAGGAUAUCCGAUUAAAUUUAAUCGAAUACAUCGCCGAUCAUAAUGGCGUUUCAUCAGUUAAAUCGAUCAAAAAAUUAUGAACCGAUAUUUCUCAUUGGAUGUUUCCUGAUUGGAUACAAAAAUUCAUCAGUGUCUUGAUCGGAAAUACCCGUUUGUUAAUUUCUUAUCGAAUAGUUUUUCUCAGUGUGGAGCCUGUUUCCGAUCUGCGAGUCACUGUUCGAUUUAAAAUCGAGCGAUCGUCACAUACACGAAAAGCACGAAGAAGAUCUUCCAAUGAAACACGAAGACAAGCGCGACCCGUGGACCUUGAGUCCCUCGUUGCUUUCCCCACAAGUUCAACAAACCUCAGGAACCUACAACGCGUCACAUCGCCAAAGAAGAUGCGCUUAGAAAAUACUUUGCAUUUAAUUGCAUAAUAAGAUAAUUAUCGGCGGAAAAGACAUUUUUCUAGCAAGCACUGCCACAAUAUUGUUAAUAACAACCUCGUGUCAGUGUUGGGCAUUAAUCGAUUAAAAUUUUCUUCGAUAAUAGUAACCGAUAAA
Molecule: long non-coding RNA, 1592 nt
Organism: Odontomachus brunneus
Lineage: Eukaryota; Metazoa; Arthropoda; Insecta; Hymenoptera; Formicidae
Exons: 3
Source: RefSeq, a predicted model, not a curated record